UAGCUGGUCUGAGAGGAUGAUCAGCCACACUGGGACUGAGACACGGCCCAGACUCCUACUGGAGGCAGCAGUAGGGAAUUUUCCGCAAUGGGCGAAAGCCUGACGGAGCAAUACCGCGUGAGGGAGGAAGGCUCUUGGGUUGUAAACCUCUUUUCUCAGGGAAGAAGAAAAUGACGGUACCUGAGGAAUAAGCAUCGGCUAACUCCGUGCCAGCAGCCGCGGUAAUACGGAGGAUGCAAGCGUUAUCCGGAAUGAUUGGGCGUAAAGGGUCCGCAGGUGGCCAUGUAAGUCUGCUGUUAAAGAAUCUAGCUCAACUAGAUCAAAGCAGUGGAAACUACACGGCUAGAGUGCGUUCGGGGUAGAGGGAAUUCCUGGUGUAGCGGUGAAAUGCGUAGAUAUCAGGAAGAACACCAGUGGCGAAGGCGCUCUACUAGGCCGCAACUGACACUGAGGGACGAAAGCUAGGGGAGCGAAUGGGAUUAGAUACCCCAGUAGUCCUAGCCGUAAACGAUGGAUACUAGGUGUGGCUUGUAUCGACCCAAGCCGUACCGUAGCUAACGCGUUAAGUAUCCCGCCUGGGGAGUACGCACGCAAGUGUGAAACUCAAAGGAAUUGACGGGGGCCCGCACAAGCGGUGGAGUAUGUGGUUUAAUUCGAUGCAACGCGAAGAACCUUACCAAGACUAGACAUGUCGCGAAUCUUUCUGAAAGGAGAGAGUGCCUUCGGGAGCGCGAACACAGGUGGUGCAUGGCUGUCGUCAGCUCGUGUCGUGAGAUGUUGGGUUAAGUCCCGCAACGAGCGCAACCCUCGUUUUUAGUUGCCAGCAUUAAGUUGGGCACUCUAGAGAGACUGCCGGUGACAAACCGGAGGAAGGUGGGGAUGACGUCAAGUCAGCCCCCCUUACGUCUUGGGCUACACACGUACUACAAUGCUACGGACAAAGGGCAGCUACACAGCAAUGUGAUGCAAAUCUCAGAAACCGUAGCUCAGUUCAGAUCGCAGGCUGCAACUCGCCUGCGUGAAGUAGGAAUCGCUAGUAAUUGCAGGUCAGCAUACUGCAGUGAAUUCGUUCCCGGGCCUUGUACACACCGCCCGUCACACCAUGGAAGCUGAUCACGCCCGAAGUCGUUACCCCAACUUUUCGGAGAGGGGGAUGCCGAAGGCAGGAUUGGUGACUGGGGUGAAGUCGUAACAAGGUAGCCGUACCGGAAGGUGUGGCUG
RNAcentral lists this ribosomal RNA (1221 nucleotides) under metagenome. RNAcentral's name for it is "bacterial SSU rRNA". It matches the Rfam family "Bacterial small subunit ribosomal RNA", at positions 284 to 1520 of the family's 1533-position model. The record is from RNAcentral.